UUUUUUUUUUCCCUUGAGGUUCAUGCAUAGAGAAUGUUUUCCCUUUUCUAUUUCUUCUUGUGUCAAUUUUGGCAAUUUGUAUCAUUCAGAUGUCUUUGGUUUCUUCAAAUUGCUGAAAUUAUUUACAUUAAAUUGGUCAUAAUAUUUUUAGUGUUUUUAAAAUGUCUCUAGGAUUGGUGUGAUGCCCUUGUUUUUAUUCUCAUUAUUUCCUUCUCAGUAUUGUCCCUCUGUGGUAUCUUCCCUUUUACCUUGGCCAUUCUAUAUAGAAGAUUGAUUGUUUUUAUUCUUCAAAAUGUAUUUUGUAUUUGUUUUUUUUCUUCCCUUUAAUUCGACUAUUAUUUGCUUUAUGUACUUUAAAAAUACAUUUCUAGGGAGUUCCUGUUUUGGUGCAGUGGUUAAUGAAGCUGAUUAGGGACCAUGAGGUUGCAGGCUCAAUCCCUGGCCUUGCUCAGUGGGUUGGGGAUCCGGCAUUGCCGUGAGCUCCAAGAUGGGAACUCCUUUGUCUUUAUUUUCAAAGUAGUUUUUCUAGUAGGUAGAUAUUAAUCCUUGAUAUUCAGGAACAACAACAACAAAAAAAUAGAAUUCCAAGGGAUUCUUGGGGAUUUCUUAAAUCAUGCUGUCCAAUAUUUGUCACAACACUGUUUUUUGUUUGUUUUGCUAACGAACAUAUUUUUACAUAUAUUUUUCAAUAACAUGUGGAAAUUAUCUCCAUGUGAAAAGGGAACAUUAACAAAAUAACUGCCAUGUAAAACUUAUAAAUUUAAAAAAGAAAAAAGAAAACUAAUACCAUAAAAAUUUAAUAUCUAAAAGGUAUUCUUCUUUACAAAAAUCAUCAUUAAAAUAUAUUUAAAGAAUGAAUAGAAUACCAUUUAAGUUUAUAUUUACCAAUUGAUGCCCAUGGGAAAGAUUUUAAAAGAUUCAUAAAUUCAGUUCCUACUAUUGCAACUAAUGAAAUAUAAUUAUUUAAUGUCAUUUUUUUCAAUGCCUUCCUUUGCAUUUCUGCUUCCAUCAAAAAGACACGAUUCAAAGUUCCCUGGUGGCCUAGUUAAGGAUCUGGCACUGCUGCUGCUGUGGCUAAUGUCACAGCUGUGGUGUGGGUUUGAUCCCUGGCCUGGAAACUUCUGCAUGGCACAGGAACAGCCAAAAAACAAAACAAACAAACAAACAAAAAAAUAAAGAGAGAGAUGGUUAAACCUGUAAUAAAGUUAAUAACUGUGUUCAAUAAAAAGGUAUCACUCUUUAAAAAGUGCUGAACACACAAAGCAUUAAUUUAUUAUUAAUGAAUUAUUAAUUACUACUGUAUUUUAGAGUAUUACUCGGUAUUCACAUAUUCUAUUAAAUGUGCUUACAAAGAACUAUAGCCAAUAGUGAUUAUUAAGCCAUUGGAAUAUGCUAGUGGACAUCAUGGGAUAGUAUUCAUAUAAUGUAACAUUUAAAUCACCUAUCAAGUAAUGUUAACAGCACUGUAAAGGCUCAUGUUCUAAAAAUGCCAAUUUAAGGAUUAUUGUGAAUUCAAAACUUGUAUUUUUUGAAACAUCAUUCAUAGGAUUUAUGUAAGGUAUGCUAUGCAUAUAAACAUUAAUAAUCAUAUUUGUAAGAAUGGUUCACCAUUAGUAGAAGACAGGGCCAUAAUCACAAAUUUACAACGUGACAGUAAUGCUUGUCUCUUACAUACUGGUUCCUGCGAAUGUUUACCUUAACCUUAGACUGUGUGUUAGUUAGUUUUCCUCUUGUUUUUGCGUUGACAUCAAUGGAUUCCUUGAAACAAGUAAUGUCUCUAUAUUUAUUGUGAGGCUUUCAUUUGCACCCCAGAUUUAUAACUUUCCUAUUUUCCCAGUUCCUUGACUGAGAUUUAUCAGGAUCAUAAUUUGGAGAAGUAUUUAAAUUUCCUUAAUAUGCAAGGAAGCAAUUCCAUAUGGAAAUAUUUAUCAUGUAUUUGAGUCUUGAGUUUUCAUCUGAUAAUCUCUGGCUUUUAAUUGGUAUGUUAGACCAUUUAUGUUUAAUAUAAUUAUUAACAUGGUACGACGUAAGUCUACCAUCUUGCUAUUUGUUUUCUACUUUCUCCUGUCUUUGCUUCUUUUUUUCUCCUUACCUGUCUUCUUUUGAAUCAAUUGAGCAUUUUUUAGUAAUCCAUUUUAUUUCUACUUUGAGCAUGUUAGGUAUACUUUUUUAGUCUAUUUGUUUUAAUUGCUUACGGCUUUAUGUUUUUACCUUUUCACAGGUUACUUUCAGAUAUAUGUUAUGUAUAAUAUAAAAACUUAGAAUAGUAUAUGUCCACUUUUUUCUUUUCAUCUUCCUAUCUAUGUGGCACUAUGAUCUUGCUUUUUAAUUCAACAGACACUAUCAACUACAUUGUUAUCUAUAUCUAUAUUUAUGUUUGUGUCUGUGUCUUAAUCUAUAGCUAUACCUAUAUCUGUUUCUGCAUCUUUAUACUUAAAAAGAUAUUAUCAUUUUUAAAAGAUUAUUUUAUAAUUACUCAUUUAUUUACCAUUUCCAGUGCUGUUCAUCCCUUUUUAUAGAUCUGAGUUUCUGUUUGGUGUUAUUUUCCUUCUACCCAAAAGGCUUUCUUUAAUAAUUCUUGUCACCUUUUCACAUGCUAUUGCUCCCACGUGAAAUGCUGGUCCCCCACUUACCUACAUGCUCUGUUCCCUCAUUCCUAUGUCUUUUGCUUGAAUGCCAUGGUCUGUGUGAAGUCAUUUAACCACCUAUGUAAAAUCAUAGUCUCUUGGCCCUUUCAGCACCCCCUAUAAUCCCUCCUUGCUUUCUUUAUCUUAGAGUCCUUAAUAUCACCUGACCUGCCUGAUAAUUUUCUUUUUAACCUACCUCCCUCCAGUUAGCAUAUGAGCUUCAUGAGAACAGGGAAUUUCAUAUAUUUUGUUCACUGAUGCACCUUCAGUAUCUAGCGACACUAGUGAUAAACCUAUCAUUAGUGCCUAUAACAGUGCCUAGCACAUGACAGGUGAUCAAUAAUUAUUUCUCGAAUGCAUGCAUGAGGCUUCUCUCAGGCCCCUACAAGCAGCAGAGAUGCCCUUCUCAACUCUUAGCCUGACUCUACUCUCCGUGUAUAUUAGUCCUACUCCAGGACUCAUCACCUUGUUCUAACCAGACGGUUAACUUAUUCAGUGGCCCAUCCCAUCCAAUGACGUGAUCUAACAACUGGACCUGGACGGAAUGGGUUCUGUCAGCUCAGUCUCACAUUUUCUGAAAACUGCCUCAGAGCCAGUGUCUCUUGCAGGCAGGCAGUGAGAAUACAGAAGGAAGAGGAGGCUGAUCCUGGCUCAGGAUGCUUGAGGGCCUCUAGUCGGGAGUGUGAUUAAUUCACCCAGAAUCACAAGGCUGGCUGAUGCCACAGAGGCAGGAGCAAGGGUUGAAGCUGGUGUUUGUGUGGAGGAGGCCAGUGGGAUUACUGGGGGAGUCUUCCCAGAGGUGGUGACAAGCAAACUGGGCUUUGACAAAAGCAAAUGAGAAAUUCAGGACAAAUCUAUAUAAGGACAAAUCUAAAGUGGAAUAGCUGGACAAUUAAAAACAAAAGCAAAAACCUGCGGGGCCCCAGAUUACUUCUCACUGGCCCAGAGCCUGGUCGAGAGGCUUCUAUGACUGUUAGGUUCCUCC
Molecule: long non-coding RNA, 3612 nt
Filed under: Sus scrofa (pig)
Lineage: Eukaryota; Metazoa; Chordata; Mammalia; Artiodactyla; Suidae
Description: lncRNA (ENSSSCG00025039677.1)
Source: RNAcentral